CCCUUAGAUGUUCUGGGCCACACGCGCGUUACACUGAUGAAGCCAGCGAGUAUAUCGCCUUCACCGGAAGGUGCGGGUAAUCUUGUGAAACUUCAUCGUGCUGGGGAUAGACCAUUGCAAUUAUUGGUCUUGAACGAGGAAUUCCUAGUAAGCAUGAGUCAUCAACUCGUGCUGAUUACGUCCCUGCCCUUUGUACACACCGCCCGUCGCUACUACCGAUUGAAUGGUUUAGUGAGAUCUCGGGAUUGGAGACGUUGCGCCGCAAGGCACAUCGCCCUCGAGAACUUGAUCAAACUUGAUCAUUUAGAGGAAGUAAAAGUCGUAACA
Molecule: ribosomal RNA, 327 nt
Filed under: uncultured eukaryote
Lineage: Eukaryota
Description: partial 18S ribosomal RNA
Rfam family: Eukaryotic small subunit ribosomal RNA
Source: RNAcentral